Molecule: ribosomal RNA, 495 nt
Filed under: uncultured bacterium
Lineage: Bacteria
Description: partial 16S ribosomal RNA
Rfam family: Bacterial small subunit ribosomal RNA
Source: RNAcentral
UGAACGCUGGCGGCGUGCCUAAUACAUGCAAGUCGAGCGAACGGACGAGAAGCUUGCUUCUCUGAUGUUAGCGGCGGACGGGUGAGUAACACGUGGAUAACCUACCUAUAAGACUGGGAUAACUUCGGGAAACCGGAGCUAAUACCGGAUAAUAUUUUGAACCGCAUGGUUCAAAAGUGAAAGACGGUCUUGCUGUCACUUAUAGAUGGAUCCGCGCUGCAUUAGCUAGUUGGUAAGGUAACGGCUUACCAAGGCAACGAUGCAUAGCCGACCUGAGAGGGUGAUCGGCCACACUGGAACUGAGACACGGUCCAUACUCCUACGGGAGGCAGCAGUAGGGAAUCUUCCGCAAUGGGCGAAAGCCUGUCGGAGCAACGCCGCGUGAGUGAUGAAGGUCUUCGGAUCGUAAAACUCUGUUAUUAGGGAAGAACAUAUGUGUAAGUAACUGUGCACAUCUUGACGGUACCUAAUCAGAAAGCCACGGCUAACUACGUG